This 451-nucleotide ribosomal RNA is filed under the name uncultured Fibrobacter sp. RNAcentral's name for it is "partial 16S ribosomal RNA". It matches the Rfam family "Bacterial small subunit ribosomal RNA", at positions 341 to 792 of the family's 1533-position model. The record is from RNAcentral. Lineage: Bacteria; Pseudomonadati; Fibrobacterota; Fibrobacteria; Fibrobacterales; Fibrobacteraceae.
ACGGAAGGCAGCAGUAGGGAAUAUUGCACAAUGGGGGAAACCCUGAUGCAGCAACGCCACGUGUGGGAAGAAGCAUUUCGGUGUGUAAACCACUGUCGUGAAGGAAUAAGGCUUAUUUUCGGAUAAGUUGAAUGUACUUUGAAAGGAAGCACCGGCAAACUUCGUGCCAGCAGCCGCGGUAAUACGAGGGGUGCAAGCGUUGUUCGGAAUCACUGGGCGUAAAGGGAGCGCAGGCGGAGAUGCAAGCGGUCUGUACAAUCCCGGGGCCUAACCCCGGACCUGCAGACCGGACUGUUUCUCUUGGAUAGUUCAGGGGCAAGCGGAAUUCCUGGUGUAGCGGUGGAAUGCGUAGAGAUCAGGAAGAACACCGAUGGCGAAGGCAGCUUGCUGGGGACUUAUCGACGCUCAUGCUCGAAAGUGCGGGUAGCAAACAGGAUUAGAUACCCUGGUA